This 253-nucleotide ribosomal RNA is filed under the name uncultured bacterium. RNAcentral describes it as "partial 16S ribosomal RNA". It matches the Rfam family "Bacterial small subunit ribosomal RNA", at positions 524 to 776 of the family's 1533-position model. The record is from RNAcentral.
UACGUAGGGAGCAAGCGUUGUCCGGAAUCAUUGGGCGUAAAGAGCGUGUAGGCGGCCCGGUAAGUCGGUUGUGAAAGUCAAGGGCUCAACCCUUGAAAGCCGACCGAUACUGCCGGGCUAGAAUCCGGAAGAGGCGAGUGGAAUUCCUGGUGUAGCGGUGAAAUGCGCAGAUAUCAGGAGGAACACCAAUGGCGAAGGCAGCUCGCUGGGACGGUACUGACGCUGAGACGCGAAAGCGUGGGGAGCAAACAGG